GUCCACGCCGUAAACGAUGGAUGCUAGCCGUCGGCAAGCUUGCUUGUCGGUGGCGCAGCUAACGCAUUAAGCAUCCCGCCUGGGGAGUACGGCCGCAAGGUUAAAACUCAAAGGAAUUGACGGGGGCCCGCACAAGCGGUGGAGCAUGUGGUUUAAUUCGACGCAACGCGAAGAACCUUACCAAGCCUUGACAUGUCCGGACGACCUUUGGAAACGGAGGUCUCCCAGCAAUGGGUCGGAACACAGGUGCUGCAUGGCUGUCGU
This 264-nucleotide ribosomal RNA is filed under the name uncultured bacterium. Its description in RNAcentral is "partial 16S ribosomal RNA". It matches the Rfam family "Bacterial small subunit ribosomal RNA", at positions 793 to 1055 of the family's 1533-position model. The record is from RNAcentral.